GUCUAUGACCAUGCCACCCUGAACAAGCCAGAUCCUGUCUGAUCUCAGAAACUAAGUAGGGUCGGGCCUGAUUAGUACUUGGAUGGGAGACCACCUAGGAAGACCAGAUGCUGUAGGCA
RNAcentral lists this ribosomal RNA (119 nucleotides) under Pteropus alecto (black flying fox). Lineage: Eukaryota; Metazoa; Chordata; Mammalia; Chiroptera; Pteropodidae. The record is from RNAcentral.